Molecule: long non-coding RNA, 1071 nt
Organism: Oncorhynchus tshawytscha (Chinook salmon)
Lineage: Eukaryota; Metazoa; Chordata; Actinopteri; Salmoniformes; Salmonidae
Source: Ensembl
CAGAAGUAGUCUGCUCUCCAAGAGGCAGGAUCAGGCUGCCAGGAAGAUCAUGAGGUUUCUACGCCGCUGCCGCCACAGAGUGAACGAAUCGAAAAGGGCCAAGGAACAUGAGAACCCUCAGAAGAGCCCCCUCACAAUGUGACAUCACUCUCCUCCUUUUCUUUCCCCCCUUUGUACCCAAGACAUUUUACAAGAGAAGAAAAUAAACAGUUCAGUGAAAACACUGGGAUUAUUAUUACAACUAUGACAGCGUGACUGAUUCCACUUCGAUUACAUGUACAACAACAACAGCAUUUUUCACGUUUAUCUAUCGUUGUGUAUGUUGGAGAGUGGCAACUUCUUCUGUAGAAUUCUAAACUAAAGGAGAAGAAGCUGUGGGGGGCAGAACAUUAGCUUCAUGACAUUUUUUGCACUUUUUCAUGGAUUGCUUUGUCUUUUUGGGAGUAUCGGAGUCUAGGUUUUUAGAUGGUAAAGGAAGAGGAAUGUUGGACAUGUGGAAAAGGUCCCUGCCACCAGUGGAUCAAACCAAAAGGAUAAGAUGGAGGACAGCGAGGAUGGAGGACAGACGCCAACCAGAACAUAAGGAAACAUUACAGAAACACAUUGGGACUUGGCUCUAAUUGUAUUUCAUCAUUUUUUUAAAAAAGUGAACUGAUUCAUCCAUUUGAAGGAGAAAACAUGUCAUCUAAUGAACCAAACAUUCUCGGUAAUAUAAUUGAUCCAUUUGCAAACGUACUCUCCCUAUCAACAGUCGGUGAAUACAUUCAGUAUCGUAACUGGAAAUAGAUCAAGCGUCCUUCUGUUACGCUGUGCUCUACUCCGCCAGUCAGUCCGAAGGGGUGGGGCUGCAUCUGAAUGUAGGAGGGGUGUGAGAAGGAAUGGGCGGGGCUUAUUAAAAUAAUGGCUUAUUUUGUUAUCUACGUUUAGGGGGCACUGUGAGGCAAGAGAUAAAGGGAUUCAAUGGUGUGUGUGUUUUUUUUAAUAUAUAUGUUUAAUUCCUCUUUGCUUGAAUCUGUUCCGUGCUUACCCAUUACCGGGAUAACUGACUUGUCUCCUAAAAAAUGAUGUGUU